RNAcentral lists this ribosomal RNA (219 nucleotides) under Acinetobacter baumannii. RNAcentral's name for it is "partial 23S ribosomal RNA". It matches the Rfam family "Bacterial large subunit ribosomal RNA", at positions 1450 to 1671 of the family's 2925-position model. The record is from RNAcentral. Lineage: Bacteria; Pseudomonadati; Pseudomonadota; Gammaproteobacteria; Moraxellales; Moraxellaceae.
GUUACUGCGAAGGGGGGACGGAGAAGGCUAUGUUGGCCGGGCGACGGUUGUCCCGGUUUAAGCGUGUAGGCUGGUUUUCCAGGCAAAUCCGGAAAAUCAAGGCUGAGGCGUGAUGACGAGGCACUACGGUGCUGAAGCAACAAAUGCCCUGCUUCCAGGAAAAGCCUCUAAGCAUCAGGUAACAUCAAAUCGUACCCCAAACCGACACAGGUGGUCAGG